Molecule: ribosomal RNA, 1376 nt
Filed under: uncultured bacterium
Lineage: Bacteria
Description: 16S ribosomal RNA
Rfam family: Bacterial small subunit ribosomal RNA
Source: RNAcentral
AGAGUUUGAUCCUGGCUCAGGACGAACGCUGGCGGCGUGCCUAACACAUGCAAGUCGAACGGGGUAAUUUCUUCGGAGGUUACUUAGUGGCGAACGGGUGAGUAACGCGUGAGGAACCUGCCUUUCAGUGGGGGACAACAGUUGGAAACGACUGCUAAUACCGCAUAACGUAUCUGGACCGCAUGAUCCGGAUACCAAAGCUUUAUGUGCUGAAAGAUGGCCUCGCGUCUGAUUAGCUAGUUGGUGGGGUAACGGCUCACCAAGGCGACGAUCAGUAGCCGGUCUGAGAGGAUGAACGGCCACAUUGGGACUGAGAUACGGCCCAGACUCCUACGGGAGGCAGCAGUGGGGAAUAUUGGGCAAUGGGGGAAACCCUGACCCAGCAACGCCGCGUGAAGGAAGAAGGCCCUCGGGUUGUAAACUUCUUUUACCAGGGACGAAGAACGUGACGGUACCUGGAGAAAAAGCAACGGCUAACUACGUGCCAGCAGCCGCGGUAAUACGUAGGUUGCAAGCGUUGUCCGGAUUUACUGGGUGUAAAGGGCGUGUAGGCGGAGCUGCAAGUCAGAUGUGAAAUCCCGGGGCUCAACCCCGGAACUGCAUUUGAAACUGUAGCCCUUGAGUAUCGGAGAGGCAAGCGGAAUUCCUAGUGUAGCGGUGAAAUGCGUAGAUAUUAGGAGGAACACCAGUGGCGAAGGCGGCUUGCUGGACGACAACUGACGCUGAGGCGCGAAAGCGUGGGGAGCAAACAGAAUUAGAUACCCUGGUAGUCCUACGCUGUAAACGCAUGAAUAAAUAGGUGUGGGAGGACUUGACCCCUUCCGUGCCGCAGUUAACACAAUAAGUAUUCCACCUGGGGAGUACGACCGCAAGGUUGAAACUCAAAGGAAUUGACGGGGGCCCGCACAAGUAGUGGAUUAUGUGGUUUAAUUCGACGCAACGCGAAGAACCUUACCAGGAUUUGACAUCCAACUAACGAAGUAGAGAUACAUUAGGUGCCCUUCGGGGAAAGUUGAGACAGGUGGUGCAUGGUUGUCGUCAGCUCGUGUCGUGAGAUGUUGGGUUAAGUCCCGCAACGAGCGCAACCCCUAUUGUUAGUUGCUACGCAAGAGCACUCUAGCGAGACUGCCGUUGACAAAACGGAGGAAGGCGGGGACGACGUCAAAUCAUCAUGCCCUUUAUGUCCUGGGCUACACACGUAAUACAAUGGUGGUAAACAGAGGGAAGCAAAACUGCGAAGUGGAGCAAAUCCCUAAAAGCCAUCUCAGUUCGGAUUGCAGGCUGCAACUCGCCUGCAUGAAGCUGGAAUUGCUAGUAAUCGCGGAUCAGCAUGCCGCGGUGAAUACGUUCCCGGGCCUUGCACUCAGCGCCCGUCA